UAAAGAAGCAACCUGCUCCAGAGGGGCAGCGGCAAGUCUACUGAGCCAGGGAACUUACCUCGGAGGCUUGACUUCGCAGCCUGAAGUGAAGGACGUCCCAAAUCAAAGGACACAUGCUUGGACGGGAAGUCUGUGCCAGGGGAGGCCAGCCUAGGCUCUCCUCCAAAGCUGGAAUUCCAAGACUUCACACAGACCAACAAGAGCUCUGAGGUUUUUACUUUACAAAUCAAAUGCCUGAGGAUGUGUAAGAGGAUGGUCAUGGAUUUGCAACAAUCGCUUUCUGCAUUCCUGAUCCCAAGCUCUAUGGUGAAUGCCAGUCCCUGACAUGGAAGCUUGGAUUUGAGUAUGUGGCUGUACCAGUAUGAACACGUUACUCAAUUACCUCUGUGUGAAGACCUGCGGAUUGCAAGCUGUCAGGUAUAAAAAUCCCUGUCCUGCAGUAUAAAGAACAGCAUCUACGAACUCUACUCAUACUACUCCAUUUCAUGUUAAUCCAGAAAUAGGAAACUACUACUAAACCACUCUUUGACAACCUUCCCUGUUAUCUGUUUACUGUCCUUGUCUUCUAUACCAUAGGCUCCUGUUGUUGUCUGAUGUAAGGAUAACUGGCUCUCAGCUACUUUAUUUAUGGAUCCCCAGCACCUGGCACCCUGGUAUAAAGAUGUACACCAAACAUUUGUUGAAUAAAUA
Molecule: long non-coding RNA, 690 nt
Organism: Mustela lutreola (European mink)
Lineage: Eukaryota; Metazoa; Chordata; Mammalia; Carnivora; Mustelidae
Exons: 4
Source: RefSeq, a predicted model, not a curated record